AGUGAACGCUGGCGGUAGGCCUAACACAUGCAAGUCGAACGGCAGCACAGUAAGAGCUUGCUCUUACGGGUGGCGAGUGGCGGACGGGUGAGGAAUACAUCGGAAUCUACUUUUUCGUGGGGGAUAACGUAGGGAAACUUACGCUAAUACCGCAUACGACCUACGGGUGAAAGCAGGGGAUCUUCGGACCUUGCGCGAUUGAAUGAGCCGAUGCCGGAUUAGCUAGUUGGCGGGGUAAAGGCCCACCAAGGCGACGAUCCGUAGCUGGUCUGAGAGGAUGAUCAGCCACACUGGAACUGAGACACGGUCCAGACUCCUACGGGAGGCAGCAGUGGGGAAUACUGGACAAUGGGCGCAAGCCUGAUCCAGCCAUACCGCGUGGGUGAAGAAGGCCUUCGGGUUGUAAAGCCCUUUUGUUGGGAAAGAAAAGCAGCAGGUUAAUACCCCGCUGUUCUGACGGUACCCAAAGAAUAAGCACCGGCUAACUUCGUG
Molecule: ribosomal RNA, 492 nt
Filed under: uncultured bacterium
Lineage: Bacteria
Description: partial 16S ribosomal RNA
Rfam family: Bacterial small subunit ribosomal RNA
Source: RNAcentral